UAAUACCGAAGCCCCAAGUGGUCGUCGAUCUUAUUGGGCCUAAAACAUCCGUAGCCGGUUUGGUACAUUCGUGGGUAAAUCAGACAGCUUAACUGUCUGAAUUCUGCGAGGACGGCCAAACUUGAGACCGGGAGAGGUGUAGGGUACCUGCGGGGUAGGGGUAAAAUCCUGUCAUCCCGUAGGGACCACCAGUUGCGAAGGCUCUACACUAGAACGGAUCUGACGGUCAGGGACGAAGCCUAGGGGCACGAACCGGAUUAGAUACCCGGGUAGUCCUAGGUGUAAACGCUGUGGACUUUGUGUCGGGGGUCUUUCGAGGACUCUCGGUGCCGGAGUGAAGAUGUUAAGUCCACUGCCUGGGGAGUACGGUCGCAAGGCUG
Molecule: ribosomal RNA, 380 nt
Filed under: uncultured euryarchaeote
Lineage: Archaea; Methanobacteriati; Methanobacteriota
Description: bacterial SSU rRNA
Rfam family: Archaeal small subunit ribosomal RNA
Source: RNAcentral